UACGUAGGGCGCAAGCGUUAUCCGGAAUUAUUGGGCGUAAAGAGCUCGUAGGCGGUCUGUCGCGUCUGGUGUGAAAUCCCAUGGCUCAACUGUGGGCUUGCAUCGGGUACGGGCAGACUAGAGUGCGGUAGGGGUGACUGGAAUUCCUGGUGUAGCGGUGGAAUGCGCAGAUAUCAGGAGGAACACCAAUAGCGAAGGCAGCUCGCUGGGACGUUACUGACACUGAGGCGCGAAAGCGUGGGGAGCGAACAGG
Molecule: ribosomal RNA, 253 nt
Filed under: uncultured bacterium
Lineage: Bacteria
Description: partial 16S ribosomal RNA
Rfam family: Bacterial small subunit ribosomal RNA
Source: RNAcentral